RNAcentral lists this transfer RNA (65 nucleotides) under Moniezia benedeni. RNAcentral's name for it is "tRNA-Trp". The record is from RNAcentral. Lineage: Eukaryota; Metazoa; Platyhelminthes; Cestoda; Cyclophyllidea; Anoplocephalidae.
AUGGAGUUAAGUUAUGGUAGACUGUAUGUUUUCAAAACAUUUAGAAGUUGUGUUGCUACUCUAUG